Molecule: ribosomal RNA, 449 nt
Filed under: uncultured bacterium
Lineage: Bacteria
Description: partial 16S ribosomal RNA
Rfam family: Bacterial small subunit ribosomal RNA
Source: RNAcentral
AAUGUACGCUGGCGGCAUGCCUAACACAUGCAAGUCGAACGAAGGCUUCGGCCUUAGUGGCGCACGGGUGCGUAACGCGUGGGAAUCUGCCCUCAGGUUCGGAAUAACAGCGAGAAAUUGCUGCUAAUACCGGAUGAUAUCGCGAGAUCAAAGAUUUAUCGCCUGAGGAUGAGCCCGCGUAGGAUUAGCUAGUUGGUGUGGUAAAGGCGCACCAAGGCGACGAUCCUUAGCUGGUCUGAGAGGAUGAUCAGCCACACUGGGACUGAGACACGGCCCAGACUCCUACGGGAGGCAGCAGCGGGGAAUAUUGGACAAUGGGCGAAAGCCUGAUCCAGCAAUGCCGCGUGAGUGAUGAAGGCCUUAGGGUUGUAAAGCUCUUUUACCCGGGAUGAUGAUGACAGUACCGGGAGAAUAAGCUCCGGCUAACUCCGUGCCAGCCGCCGCCGUAA